AUUGAACGCUGGCGGCAGGCCUAACACAUGCAAGUCGAGCGGAUGAAGGGAGCUUGCUCCUGGAUUCAGCGGCGGACGGGUGAGUAAUGCCUAGGAAUCUGCCUGGUAGUGGGGGAUAACGUCCGGAAACGGGCGCUAAUACCGCAUACGUCCUGAGGGUGAAAGUGGGGGAUCUUCGGACCUCACGCUAUCAGAUGAGCCUAGGUCGGAUUAGCUAGUUGGUGGGGUAAAGGCCUACCAAGGCGACGAUCCGUAACUGGUCUGAGAGGAUGAUCAGUCACACUGGAACUGAGACACGGUCCAGACUCCUACGGGAGGCAGCAGUGGGGAAUAUUGGACAAUGGGCGAAAGCCUGAUGCAGCAAUGCCGCGUGUGUGAAGAAGGUCUUCGGAUUGUAAAGCACUUUAAGUUGGGAGGAAGAGAAGUAAGUUAAUACCUGGCUGUUUUGACGUUACCAACAGAAUAAGCACCGGCUAACUUCGUG
Molecule: ribosomal RNA, 484 nt
Filed under: uncultured bacterium
Lineage: Bacteria
Description: partial 16S ribosomal RNA
Rfam family: Bacterial small subunit ribosomal RNA
Source: RNAcentral